AACGAACGCUGGCGGCGCGCCUAAUACAUGCAAGUCGAGCGAGAAGACGUAGCAAUACGUUUGUAAAGCGGCGAACGGGUGAGGAAUACAUGGGUAACCUACCCUCGAGUGGGGAAUAACUAGCCGAAAGGUUAGCUAAUACCGCGUACGCUCCUUGGACUUCGGUUCAGGGAGGAAAGCGAUACCGCGGGUAUCGCGCUCUUGGAUGGGCUCAUGUCCUAUCAGCUUGUUGGUGAGGAACGGCUCACCAAGGCUUCGACGGGUAGCUGGUCUGAGAGGACGAUCAGCCACACUGGCACUGCGACACGGGCCAGACUCCUACGGGAGGCAGCAGUAAGGAAUAUUGCGCAAUGGGCGAAAGCCUGACGCAGCGACGCCGCGUGGGGGA
This 388-nucleotide ribosomal RNA is filed under the name uncultured bacterium. RNAcentral's name for it is "bacterial SSU rRNA". It matches the Rfam family "Bacterial small subunit ribosomal RNA", at positions 29 to 408 of the family's 1533-position model. The record is from RNAcentral.